This 525-nucleotide ribosomal RNA is filed under the name uncultured bacterium. RNAcentral describes it as "bacterial SSU rRNA". It matches the Rfam family "Bacterial small subunit ribosomal RNA", at positions 272 to 788 of the family's 1533-position model. The record is from RNAcentral.
GGCAUUGAUGGGUAGCUGGUCUGAGAGGAUGAUCAGCCACACUGGAACUGAAACACGGUCCAGACUCCUACGGGAGGCAGCAGUGGGGAAUCUUGCGCAAUGGACGAAAGUCUGACGCAGCCACGCCGCGUGAGUGAAGAAGGCCUUCGGGUUGUAAAGCUCUGUCGAGCGGGACGAAAAACGGUCAGGUGAAUAGUCUGAUCGUCUGACGGUACCGCUAAAGGAAGCACCGGCUAACUCCGUGCCAGCAGCCGCGGUAAUACGGAGGGUGCAAGCGUUGCUCGGAAUUAUUGGGCGUAAAGGGUAGGUAGGUGGUCUCAUUUGUCUGGGGUGAAAGCCUUGAGCUUAACUCAAGAAGUGCCCCAGAAACGGUGAGACUGGAGUCCUGGAGAGGGUCGUGGAAUUCCCGGUGUAGCGGUGAAAUGCGUAGAGAUCGGGAGGAACACCAGAGGCGAAAGCGGCGACCUGGACAGGUACUGACACUCAACUACGAAAGCGUGGGGAGCAAACAGGAUUAGAUACCCU